Molecule: transfer RNA, 82 nt
Filed under: Daucus carota subsp. sativus
Lineage: Eukaryota; Viridiplantae; Streptophyta; Magnoliopsida; Apiales; Apiaceae
Description: tRNA trnX-aga
Source: RNAcentral
GUGCUUUUGGUGUAAUGUUUAGCGCUUGAUCCUAGAAAAUGGUAUCAGAGCAUGUCAUGAGUUCGAAUCCCACUAAGGCGUU